RNAcentral lists this ribosomal RNA (496 nucleotides) under uncultured bacterium. Its description in RNAcentral is "partial 16S ribosomal RNA". It matches the Rfam family "Bacterial small subunit ribosomal RNA", at positions 28 to 506 of the family's 1533-position model. The record is from RNAcentral.
GAUGAACGCUGGCGGCGUGCCUAAUACAUGCAAGUCGAGCGAACAGAUAAGGAGCUUGCUCCUUUGACGUUAGCGGCGGACGGGUGAGUAACACGUGGGUAACCUACCUAUAAGACUGGAAUAACUCCGGGAAACCGGGGCUAAUGCCGGAUAACAUUUAGAACCGCAUGGUUCUAAAGUGAAAGAUGGUUUUGCUAUCACUUAUAGAUGGACCCGCGCCGUAUUAGCUAGUUGGUAAGGUAACGGCUUACCAAGGCAACGAUACGUAGCCGACCUGAGAGGGUGAUCGGCCACACUGGAACUGAGACACGGUCCAGACUCCUACGGGAGGCAGCAGUAGGGAAUCUUCCGCAAUGGGCGAAAGCCUGACGGAGCAACGCCGCGUGAGUGAUGAAGGUCUUCGGAUCGUAAAACUCUGUUAUUAGGGAAGAACAAAUGUGUAAGUAACUGUGCACGUCUUGACGGUACCUAAUCGGAAAGCCACGGCUAACUACGU